ACGAACGCUGGCGGCAUGCCUAACACAUGCAAGUCGAACGCGACCUUCGGGUCUAGUGGCGCACGGGUGCGUCACGCGUGGGAACCUGCCCUUAGGUUCGGAAUAACUCCCCGAAAGGGGUGCUAAUACCGGAUAAUGUCUUCGGACCAAAGAUUUAUCGCCUUUGGAUGGGCCCGCGUUGGAUUAGCUAGUUGGUAGGGUAAAAGCCUACCAAGGCGACGAUCCAUAGCUGGUCUGAGAGGAUGAUCAGCCACACUGGGACUGAGACACGGCCCAGACUCCUACGGGAGGCAGCAGUGGGGAAUAUUGGACAAUGGGCGAAAGCCUGAUCCAGCAAUGCCGCGUGAGUGAUGAAGGCCUUAGGGUUGUAAAGCUCUUUUACCCGGGAUGAUAAUGACAGUACCGGGAGAAUAAGCUCCGGCUAACUCCGUG
This 432-nucleotide ribosomal RNA is filed under the name uncultured bacterium. RNAcentral describes it as "partial 16S ribosomal RNA". It matches the Rfam family "Bacterial small subunit ribosomal RNA", at positions 29 to 507 of the family's 1533-position model. The record is from RNAcentral.